ACGAACGCUGGCGGCGUGCCUAACACAUGCAAGUCGAGCGAGAAAGUCUCCUUCGGGAGAUGAGUAAAGCGGCGAACGGGUGAGUAACACGUGAGCGAUCUACCCGGCGGCGGGGGAUAACUCAGGGAAACCUGAGCUAAUACCGCAUACUGCACCGGCUUGGAAGCCGGAUGUGAAAGCUGGCCUCUCGAAGAAGCUAGCACCGCCGGAUGAGCUCGCGGCCUAUCAGCUUGUUGGUGGGGUAACGGCCUACCAAGGCGAUGACGGGUAGCUGGCGUGAGAGCGUGGCCAGCCACACUGGGACUGAGACACGGCCCAGACUCCUACGGGAGGCAGCAGUGGGGAAUAUUGCGCAAUGGACGAAAGUCUGACGCAGCGAUGCCGCGUGGGGGAGGAAGGCCCCAGGGUUGUAAACCCCUGUCAGGUGGGACGAACCACGGAUCGGCCAAUACCCGGUCCGCCUGACGGUACCACCAGAGGAAGCUCCGGCUAACUCCGUG
RNAcentral lists this ribosomal RNA (500 nucleotides) under uncultured bacterium. Its description in RNAcentral is "bacterial SSU rRNA". It matches the Rfam family "Bacterial small subunit ribosomal RNA", at positions 29 to 507 of the family's 1533-position model. The record is from RNAcentral.